RNAcentral lists this ribosomal RNA (224 nucleotides) under uncultured organism. RNAcentral describes it as "partial 26S ribosomal RNA". It matches the Rfam family "Eukaryotic large subunit ribosomal RNA", at positions 34 to 259 of the family's 3401-position model. The record is from RNAcentral.
UUGUGCAUAUCUAAUUAAGCGGGGGAAAAGAAACUAACAAGGAUUCCCUCAGUAACGGCGAGUGAAGCGGGAAGAGCUCCAAUUUGGUAUCGCUGCGUUGUGCGCAGUGAAUUGUAAUUUCAAGACAUGAGGGAGAGUGGAGGGAUGCGUUCAAGUCUCCUGGAAUGGAGCACCACAGAGGGUGACAGUCCCGUCUGGACGUGAGUCUAGCGGAACUCAGGUCA